This 594-nucleotide ribosomal RNA is filed under the name uncultured bacterium. Its description in RNAcentral is "bacterial SSU rRNA". It matches the Rfam family "Bacterial small subunit ribosomal RNA", at positions 338 to 946 of the family's 1533-position model. The record is from RNAcentral.
CCUACGGGAGGCAGCAGUAGGGAAUUUUCCACAAUGGGCGAAAGCCUGAUGGAGCAAUACCGCGUGCAGGAUGAAGGCCUUCGGGUCGUAAACUGCUUUUAUGUGCGAAGAAUUUGACGGUAACACAUGAAUAAGGAUCGGCUAACUACGUGCCAGCAGCCGCGGUCAUACGUAGGAUCCAAGCGUUAUCCGGAAUUACUGGGCGUAAAGAGUUGCGUAGGUGGCAUUAUAAGUGGAGCGUGAAAGCGUGCGGCUCAACCGCAUUAUUGCGUUCCAAACUGUGAAGCUUGAGUAUGGGAGAGGUAGAUGGAAUUUCUAGUGUAGGAGUGAAAUCCGUAGAUAUUAGAAGGAACACCGAUGGCGUAGGCAGUCUACUGGCCCAGUUACUGACACUAAGGCACGAAAGCGUGGGGAGCAAACGGGGAUUAGAUACCCCGGUAGUCCACGCUGUAAACUAUGGAUGCUAGCUGUGACACACAUCGACCUGUGUCGUAGCGAAGUUAACGCGUUAAGCAUCCGCCUGGGGAUACGGUCGCAAGAUUAAAACUCAAAUGAAUUGACGGCUGAGACGNGCGAGACGACGACGAGGAGGAG